RNAcentral lists this ribosomal RNA (460 nucleotides) under uncultured bacterium. Its description in RNAcentral is "partial 16S ribosomal RNA". It matches the Rfam family "Bacterial small subunit ribosomal RNA", at positions 338 to 795 of the family's 1533-position model. The record is from RNAcentral.
CCUACGGGGGGCUGCAGUGAGGAAUAUUGGUCAAUGGGCGCAAGCCUGAACCAGCCAAGUCGCGUGAGGGAUGACGGUCCUAUGGGUUGUAAACUUCUUUUAUAUGGGAAUAAAAUGUUCCACGUGUGGGAUUUUGUAUGUACCAUAUGAAUAAGGAUCGGCUAACUCCGUGCCAGCAGCCGCGGUAAUACGGAGGAUCCGAGCGUUAUCCGGAUUUAUUGGGUUUAAAGGGAGCGUAGGUGGAUUGUUAAGUCAGUUGUGAAAGUUUGCGGCUCAACCGUAAAAUUGCAGUUGAAACUGGCAGUCUUGAGUACAGUAGAGGUGGGCGGAAUUCGUGGUGUAGCGGUGAAAUGCUUAGAUAUCACGAAGAACUCCGAUUGCGAAGGCAGCUCACUGGACUACAACUGACACUGAGGCUCGAAAGUGUGGGUAUCAAACAGGAUUAGAUACCCCUGUAGUC